CCUCUCCUCCGCUGGUUUUACCGUCGCGACACAACCAAUCCCUCGCUAGCCCUACCUCGUCUCUCGUCUCCAGUCGCAGCCGCCGCCGCCGCACCCCAAUCCAACCCCGCCGCCGGCGAUCUCCUCGCCCCCCUGCGCCGCCGCCAUCAACCUUCUGUUCCUCUCCCAAGGGAAUCCCAAGGGAAGGGAAGGCAAGGGAAGGGAAGGGAAGGGAAGGGAAGGGAGAGGGAGCGCCCAGAUCCACGGCGGCAUCAGGCACCAUCGUCGACCUGGUCCGCGUCCGUCCUCGAGGGAGGUCGGCCAUGGAGGUCCGACCCGGCCCGGCAGCAGCCAUGGACGGACGGAGACGCCCCAAACCCUACCCUCAAGGACGACGCCUCAACCUUCAACCGGAUCUUCCACCACACCACAUCGGCCUCCCUGAUUUCACGCAGGAGCUCCGCUGCUUCCAGAACGUCACCUGCUACCAGUUGUCAUCUUUCAGAAGACAAAGUACGGGUUGAGUAAGCUGUUUGGUGUUGGAAUCGGCGAGGUUGGUCAUGUUGGUGGUAUUCUCUUAUGUGCACGCCUCUGAACACCCAUCAAGGGGGAAUGCUUAGGAGCAUUUGUUGUACAUAAGCACAUACAGAAAUAAGAUUUUAUCUACUUUUGAGGAUAUGGUGGUAGAAACAACAAGGAGCAUGACCAGGAUAGGAGAGUACACAGGGCUCUGCCAGUGCACUACAUCACAGAUGUCAUAUGUAGGAAUGAUGGCAUCAACUGUCAUUUGCACGUUUACAGAUUCACAAUGGAGGUGAGAUUGGUAUAUGCUUCAUCAGCACAAGUCCUAUGUAACGAAGUUGGAUAAUAUACGAUUCCUUACGAAAGACUAAUUUCGAGAAUGCAUCUUUUGUGAGAUUAUUAGCUAGCUUGAUUUGGAUGCUGUUGGAAUUGUUUUAUUCUUUUAGGUGUCAUGAUCUCUAGCGGUAGCUAGCCUGGUUUGAAGGUGUUGAUCCUUCACAUCACAUUCGGAACCGUUCGCUCUCUGGUUACGAUUUGGCUGCCAUGCAGCGGAAUCUGGCUGAAAAAGUGAAACCAAACAGGGCCAAAAAUUCUUCCAAGGUGCAAAAUUUACCAAAAUGAACUAUAAUGCUAAUGAUUUUUUUCCAUUUAAUUUCUUGGGAGUUUUCGCACAUUAAAUUCUUGCCGCAAUCCCUCUAUAAAUUUUUAGGCGUUCUGAAUUUUGAUGUAGCCAUUCGUCUCAUAGCUGCAAUCGGAAGGACAAAUUCAAAGUUCGGUCUUUUUCUGGAAACUGAAACGGUGGCAUAUAGUAUUUUCUUUCAGUAUAUUAUAUCCUCUUGUUUUCUAGAGAACUGAUCAUACCUAUCUUGCUCGAUUUGUUUAUGCUCUGCGUUUUACUGUGGGUGUCUCUUGACAAAAAUGGAUAUGAUUGAGAGGCGCUCCAAGGAGCAAGAGAAAUCAUGUGUAAAUACAAGUGCACUUUGAUUUUUUUGAUGCCAUUUAUAUAACUACAAUAUUAAUGAUGGUUGUACAUAGAGUUUUAGACCUGUGGCUCUUUUGUUUACAUUAUGAGAUGUUCGUUAUCUAGGUAAAACUUGGGAACAUGUAUGGAUGACAAUACUAUAUGGAUUUGAUCAUUUAUUGACUAAUUAUACAGCGUAUGAACUUAUAGAGUUUAGAGUUGUUUAUCAUGUUCUAAUGCUGGAGUUAAAAGUUUCAUGUAGCUAAUGCCAUCAUCUUUAUAAAGAGCGGCAACAUACUCCGUAAGUUUUCACCCUACUCUAGGAAGCCAUUUCAUCAGUUUUUGGCUUCUGACACACUCGGAGCAACAAAUUUUGUGCUGCUAAUUGUUCUGUCCUCUCUGUUCUCUCUCUUUGCACUUACUUGUGAUUUUUGCUUAUGUCC
Molecule: long non-coding RNA, 1905 nt
Organism: Aegilops tauschii subsp. strangulata
Lineage: Eukaryota; Viridiplantae; Streptophyta; Magnoliopsida; Poales; Poaceae
Source: RefSeq, a predicted model, not a curated record